This 157-nucleotide unclassified non-coding RNA is filed under the name uncultured Scleropezicula. RNAcentral describes it as "sequence contains ITS1". Lineage: Eukaryota; Fungi; Ascomycota; Leotiomycetes; Helotiales; Dermateaceae. The record is from RNAcentral.
CAGAGAUCGUGCCCUCGCGGGUAGACCUCCCACCCUGUGUUAUUUACUCUUGUUGCUUUGGCAGGCCGCCUUUGGGCUCUCGGCUCCGGCUGGGGUGCGCCUGCCAGAGGACCCCAACUCUGUGUUUAGUGUCGUCUGAGUAUCAUAUAAUAAGUUA